This 501-nucleotide ribosomal RNA is filed under the name uncultured bacterium. Its description in RNAcentral is "partial 16S ribosomal RNA". It matches the Rfam family "Bacterial small subunit ribosomal RNA", at positions 30 to 523 of the family's 1533-position model. The record is from RNAcentral.
AUUGAACGCUGGCGGCAGGCUUAACACAUGCAAGUCGAGCGGGGAAAUAUAGCUUGCUAUAUGACCUAGCGGCGGACGGGUGGGUAAUGCUUAGGAAUCUGCCUAUUAGUGGGGGACAACAUUUCGAAAGGGAUGCUAAUACCGCAUACGCCCUACGGGGGAAAGCAGGGGAUCAUUUGACCUUGCGCUAAUAGAUGAGCCUAAGUCGGAUUAGCUAGUUGGUGGGGUAAAGGCCUACCAAGGCGACGAUCUGUAGCGGGUCUGGGAGGAUGGUCCGCCACACUGGGACUGAGACACGGCCCAGACUCCUACGGGAGGCAGCAGUGGGGAAUAUUGGACAAUGGGGGGAACCCUGAUCCAGCCAUGCCGCGUGUGUGAAGAAGGCCUUUUGGUUGUAAAGCACUUUAAGCGAGGAGGAGGCUCCUGUAGAUAAUACCUACAGUGAGUGGACGUUACUCGCAGAAUAAGCACCGGCUAACUCUGUGCCAGCCGCCGCAGUAA